GGGGAUGACUGGUUUUGACAGCGUGUAGAAGCGGCAAGCAAGCAUGCAGAGCGCCGAUGUUGACGCUCUUAAAUAUCUCGACAUCGACCUAUAACUGGCGAAAAUAACAAUUACGCUCUCGCUGCUUGAUCUGAAGUACAGUAAGAUCGCUUAAUCCGCGCCACAGGUGGCGCAGACGAGACAUUGCCCGAUUGCCCCGUUGCGAGGCGUUUCGAUAAGGCAGUGCUAAGAAAAUCGCAAAUAGGGAAACCGAAGCUCCGGCCUUUUCCCGAAACUUAGGAGCUAAGCCGCAGGUUGGCCGCCACCAGCCUGUCUGCGGUCGAAAACCAACUGGAUGGCUAAGCAUGUAGAAACCUUGUUGAGUCCGCGUUUGGACGAGGGUUCGACUCCCUCCAUCUCCACUU
Molecule: non-coding RNA, 404 nt
Organism: Prevotella sp. CAG:485
Lineage: Bacteria; Pseudomonadati; Bacteroidota; Bacteroidia; Bacteroidales; Prevotellaceae
Rfam family: transfer-messenger RNA
About the family: Bacterial tmRNA, also known as 10Sa RNA or SsrA, is named for its dual tRNA and mRNA-like properties. Its role is to liberate the mRNA from a stalled ribosome.
Source: Rfam